CUGGGUUGGCGGUGUACAAUGAAGUAGUAGAUGCUGACCUGAACAGCGAACCAUUCUUCCACGUCUCUGCGGUUGUUGGCCAGCACUGUUUCAUACUGACAACGCAUCUCAUCCAGGACCCUGUUGAGGUCAAUGGUGGGGGCAGUGUCCAGCUCCACACUGAGUCGGUCACCGAGCUGUCCCCGGAGCAAGCUGACUGCCUGAAAGAGGAAAUGGAGUAAAGAAAGCCACAGAGGGCUGGAGAAGAAAAUUCACUUUGACAUCCCAAGGGCAUCCUGUUUCUGGAGAAGCAAAGGAGAUCGUCCUUCAGAGACUCCACAUGGGCCUCCAGGUCAGCUUUGCACAGAGUCAGCUCACCCAGGAUCCCCCGCAGGCCGCCAAUGUCUGUCUCUACCAGCUGGUGAAGAGACAGUUCAGACUCGUACCUUUC
Molecule: long non-coding RNA, 430 nt
Organism: Lontra canadensis (Northern American river otter)
Lineage: Eukaryota; Metazoa; Chordata; Mammalia; Carnivora; Mustelidae
Exons: 3
Source: RefSeq, a predicted model, not a curated record